UUACACAGUAAAAAUAGAUGGGUUAUUUUUUUAACCCAAUAGAUGGGUUACACAUAUUGGGUCACUAUGUUGGGUUAUUUUCUAAAACGUUGGGUUAUUUUUUAAACAUCGUUGGGUUGUUUUUAAUAAUAACCCAGCGUUGGGUUUAAUUGGUUCCCGCGGCGACAGUUCAAAUUUUAACGGACGACGGUGACUGACGACAGAAGAAGCUGCUGCUGCAUCAGUAUGAGACAUUGGGUUCUUCAGUGAAGGGAAAACUACAACACUGGAAUCUCAUACAUUAAACAUCCACAUGCCAAUUAACUGAAAUAUUUCAAGAGGAAGGAGUGAAUGAAGGAAGUUUUAUGCGACCGGAUGACACCAGCAUUUCUGAACUCCAAGAACUCCUCCCAAGUUUUAGCAUUUUCAACAGUGAAGUAGUGGAACAGAAGACCUUACUACAAGCAGUGGAUCUGUGUUUCAGACAUUUCUACAUGUCCCCCCAAAGCUCCUCUGCACCCAUUUGCAGCACACAGUCUUUAAUGUUCCAGGAGUUCUUUCAACACAUUACCUCUUCCUUAGAAACUUUGUAUCUAUUGAUCUGUAAAACUUUUUAUGUUGCUGAUUAUCAGCAAGUCCAGCAGCCAGCAGAUUUACUUUGUUUAUUAUUAUUAUUAUUAUUAUUACUUGUGUUUAUGAUUUUUUAUUUUUGUUUUAUUGAUAAAGGUUUGUAUAUUAUGUUUGUUUUAUUUGUGCACAUUUGUGUAUGUGUUGAUAUAAAUAAAUAUGAAUUGAUACACAUUUAUGACCCUGGACAACAAAACCGGUCAUAAGUAUCAUGGGUACAUUUGUAGAAAUAGCCAAAAUUGCAUUG
Labeo rohita (rohu) is the source of this 853-nucleotide long non-coding RNA. RefSeq lists it as uncharacterized. The transcript is spliced from 3 exons. Lineage: Eukaryota; Metazoa; Chordata; Actinopteri; Cypriniformes; Cyprinidae. The record is from RefSeq and is a predicted model, not a curated record.